UACGGAGGGGGCUAGCGUUGUUCGGAAUUACUGGGCGUAAAGCGCACGUAGGCGGCUUUGUAAGUUAGAGGUGAAAGCCCGGAGCUCAACCCCGGAAUUGCCUUUAAGACUGCAUCGCUUGAACGUCGGAGAGGUGAGUGGAAUUCCGAGUGUAGAGGUGAAAUUCGUAGAUAUUCGGAAGAACACCAGUGGCGAAGGCGGCUCACUGGACGACUGUUGACGCUGAGGUGCGAAAGCGUGGGGAGCAAACAGG
Molecule: ribosomal RNA, 253 nt
Filed under: uncultured bacterium
Lineage: Bacteria
Description: partial 16S ribosomal RNA
Rfam family: Bacterial small subunit ribosomal RNA
Source: RNAcentral